Molecule: ribosomal RNA, 377 nt
Filed under: uncultured Treponema clone RFS14p
Lineage: Bacteria; Pseudomonadati; Spirochaetota; Spirochaetia; Treponematales; Treponemataceae
Description: bacterial SSU rRNA
Rfam family: Bacterial small subunit ribosomal RNA
Source: RNAcentral
AGGUUGGGAUAGCCGUUAGAAAUAGCGGGUAAUACCGAAUAUGGUUGCGGGAUUUGGUUCUGUAAAGAAAGGCGCUUUGGCGCCGCCUUGGGAUGGGCCCGCGUCCCAUUAGGUAGUUGGUGAGGUAAAGGCCCACCAAGCCCGAGAUGGGUAGCCGGCCUGAGAGGGUGAACGGCCACAUUGGGACUGAGAUACGGCCCAAANCCUACGGGAGGCAGCAGCUAAGAAUAUUCCGCAAUGGACGGAAGNCUGACGGAGCGACGCCGCGUGGAUGAAGAAGGCCGAAAGGUUGUAAAGNCCUUUUGUUACUGAAGAAUAAGCGGUGGAGGGAAUGCCANCGUGAUGACGUUAGGUAACGAAUAAGCCCCGGCUAAUUA